This 67-nucleotide transfer RNA is filed under the name Mansonia amazonensis. Its description in RNAcentral is "tRNA-Glu". The record is from RNAcentral. Lineage: Eukaryota; Metazoa; Arthropoda; Insecta; Diptera; Culicidae.
AUUUAUAUAGUUUAAAUAAAACAUUACAUUUUCAAUGUAAAAAUAAAAUAUUUUAUUUUUAUAAAUA